GCUGGGCAUGGUGGCAUACGCCUGUAGUCCCUGCUACUUGGGAGGCUGAGGUGGGAGAAUCGCUUGAGCCCAGGAGUUCAAGGCUGCUGUGUGCCAUGAUUGUGCCACUGCACUCCAGCCUGGGCAAUAGAGUGAGACCCUGUCUCAA
Molecule: signal recognition particle RNA, 148 nt
Filed under: Gorilla gorilla gorilla (western lowland gorilla)
Lineage: Eukaryota; Metazoa; Chordata; Mammalia; Primates; Hominidae
Description: Metazoan signal recognition particle RNA
Rfam family: Metazoan signal recognition particle RNA
About the family: The signal recognition particle (SRP) is a universally conserved ribonucleoprotein. It is involved in the co-translational targeting of proteins to membranes.
Source: Rfam by way of RNAcentral